Molecule: long non-coding RNA, 304 nt
Filed under: Coturnix japonica (Japanese quail)
Lineage: Eukaryota; Metazoa; Chordata; Aves; Galliformes; Phasianidae
Description: lncRNA (ENSCJPG00005009865.1)
Source: RNAcentral
GUAGCCCAUGAAAUUGUAUCGAAGCCAAGAGUUGUGAUGAGCAAUAAAGGAGGGAAGAGGAGUCUGGUAAUGCGGUUCUGGAUUCAAACGCGGUUUGGGAUGGAAGGAAAGUGAGCAGGAAAGCUGCUGCUGCUGGUGUUUGUGCUUUCAUACAGCGAAAUCCCUGAAAGUGUUCUUCAAACACCCAGAUGCUAUCACAGAAGUUCUGUGUAGGAGAAGAGAACCAAAUAUAGCUCAUCCUCUCAAAAGAAGUCAGAAGAAAUCCCAAGGACUGAAAAACAAACACUUGGAUUUUGCACUGUGA